RNAcentral lists this long non-coding RNA (366 nucleotides) under Homo sapiens (human). RNAcentral describes it as "HSALNT0032778". The record is from RNAcentral. Lineage: Eukaryota; Metazoa; Chordata; Mammalia; Primates; Hominidae.
CAUGACCUAGAACUGGAUUCUGUACAAAUGCCAUUUGCAGAGCCUGGGCAGAGCAGUGGGCAGGCCGGGAGACGUCUUGAAGAUGUUUGCUUCCCUUCUUCAGCUCUCCAGGCUGCUGACAUCCUGGCUCCCUGAAGUCUAACAGGGGAGAAAAGAGUGGAUUGAAAAUAAGAAAAUGCUCGCGUGAAGGAGUAAAAAGGCAGCUGGAAGUACAACAUUCAUUUGGAGAUGGAAUAAAUAAAUGAGAUAAAAUCCUAAAUAAAUAUCUUACACGGUUCUAAUUGCAUUUUAAAAGCUGCCACCAGAGAACAGAUAAAAUGAUGCUGUAUUUCAUUAGUGGCUCCUGUAAUUCUAUGGUAUUCGCCA